AGAAGCUUUGGUCCAAACAGAUACACAGAACAUUCAGCCAGACUGCACACGACCAACAGGAGGACAUCCUUCACAAACAGAGUUCAGACCUGCAGUGAAACAGUUUUCAGCUCUUUGUCUUAAAGGAAAUGACACUGUCCCUGGUACUCAGACCUCUCCAACCCGUCCAGGACUCUGGUGUACUCCAGAGCCAACACCCUGUAGGUCUUUCUCAAUAUAGAGAUCCCCAAGUUCAAACUCGAGGACCUGGGAGUCCAAAGUCUGGAGGAUGCAGCUUAGUUUCAACACACCUGUACCUGACUGUGCUGUAACAUCACAUUAACACACCUGUACCUGACUGUACUGUAACAUCACAUUAACACACCUGUACCUUACUGUGCUGUAACAUCAUCAUUAACACACCUGUACCUGACUGUACUGUAACAUCAUCAUUAACACACCUGUACCUGAAUGUGCUGUAACAUCAUCAUUAACACACCUGUACCUGACUGUGCUGUAACAUCAUUCACACACCUGUACCUGACUGUACUGUGAAACUGUCAUCA
Chelmon rostratus (copperband butterflyfish) is the source of this 545-nucleotide long non-coding RNA. RefSeq lists it as uncharacterized. The record is from RefSeq and is a predicted model, not a curated record. Lineage: Eukaryota; Metazoa; Chordata; Actinopteri; Chaetodontiformes; Chaetodontidae. The transcript is spliced from 3 exons.